UACGAAGGGGGCUAGCGUUGCUCGGAAUUACUGGGCGUAAAGCGCACGUAGGCGGCUCUUUAAGUCGGGGGUGAAAUCCUGGAGCUCAACUCCAGAACUGCCUUCGAUACUGUAGAGCUUGAGUUCGGGAGAGGUGAGUGGAACUGCGAGUGUAGAGGUGAAAUUCGUAGAUAUUCGCAAGAACACCAGUGGCGAAGGCGGCUCACUGGCCCGAUACUGACGCUCAGGUGCGAAAGCGUGGGGAGCAAACAGG
RNAcentral lists this ribosomal RNA (253 nucleotides) under uncultured bacterium. Its description in RNAcentral is "partial 16S ribosomal RNA". It matches the Rfam family "Bacterial small subunit ribosomal RNA", at positions 524 to 776 of the family's 1533-position model. The record is from RNAcentral.